UGUUCUUGCAUUCGAGCCGAAGCCGAAAAGUGAGAGAGAUGGACGUAGCGAAAAGCAAAAAUGCCUCACCGCCUCCGCCGCCGCAUUCUUUCGCCACCGCUCGCAGUUGCCGCCGUCGUCCAGCCCCCAAGUUCUCCCCGCAUUUUCCCAGCUCGCCAUGACUCAGUGGGGGCGAUCUACCAUCACCGAGGUGGAUUUGGAGGGGCUCGUGGCUUGGGGGAUGCUUCGCCCACGCACGGCGGCCAUGGAGUGGAUUGCCCCUAGUGGCGAGCAGUCGCCGUCCCCAUCGCCGGGCUACAUCGUCUCCUUCCUCAAGUUCCAUGAGCGAGGCCUCGCGAUGCCCGUCCACAACAUCUUUCGCGGAUUGCUGUUCCACUGCCAGAUCGAGCUGCAGUAUUUGAAUCCCAACGGGAUUCAGCAUAUCUCCACCUUCGUCGCCCUGUAUGAGGGCUUCCUCAGCAUCCCUCCCGUCUUCGAUCUUUGGAGGUACUUCUUCGCGGUCUCAAUCUACCGGUUGAAGUCCCACGGCACAUUCUACAAUGUUCCGGCGGGCUGCGCGAGCGUACAUCUGCUCAGCAGCGGUGAUCAGCGCCAGUGCCAGUUCAUCGAGAUAGGGAAGCUGAAGACCUCCAACAAGGGGUGGCACAAGAAGUGGUUCUAUCUGAAGAACGACGCAUCGUCCGCCCUCCCCUGCUAAACUGGCCGGCUCAUGACGGAGACCCCUGGCACUUGGUCGUGGGGGGCGUCGGACAAGGAGAAGAAGAGGUUUGCGUGUUAUUUCCGGGCGCUCCAGCAGCUGCGGGAGGCCGGACUCAACAGGUGCAGCGUCGUCUCCGCGUACCACAAGCGGAGAAUUGCGCCUCUCAUGGCGCGGACUCUUCCACUGUACCGCAUGGUCGAGGGCACCGAUCUCUCCGGGACCGUGAUGUCAUCGGAGGGGAUUGACAAGGCGGAGGUACUGCGACCGUUGAAGGAGACAUUUGAUCCUCCGGUGGCGUAUCCCGACCCCCAGCCGCCGACGAUGCUUCCCGAUGAGGGGGCUCUCGCGCUUGACAGGAGCGACUUCUAUUCAUCUGCUGCGUCGUUGCCAGAAGACGCCGUUAGCCAUGAGAGGAACUGCCUCGCCACCGAGGCGAACUUGGCGGAGUAGAGAAAAAAAAGGAGAAACGCAUUGAGGACCGGAAGGAUGCUGAGGAGAAAAUUCGGAGCCGCAAGGCGCGGUGUCUUAUCUCUUCCAGCGAUGAGGCUGAAUUGCUCAGCCAGCUGGAGGAUGAAUUUGAUGACGCGAGCUGCGGCGGCGACGAGGAGCCGGAGGACGGCGACC
Molecule: RNA transcript, 1324 nt
Organism: Panicum virgatum (switchgrass)
Lineage: Eukaryota; Viridiplantae; Streptophyta; Magnoliopsida; Poales; Poaceae
Exons: 2
Source: RefSeq, a predicted model, not a curated record